AACUGAUACUACCUGCGGGAACCUCGGAAGGAUCAUUAGUGAACGCCCUCACGGGCUUAUAACUAUUCCAAACCUCUGUGAACCGUGCCCUUCGGGGCUAUUUUACAAACAUGGUGUAAUGAACGUCAUAUAUCAUAACAAAACAAAACUUUUAACAACGGAUCUCU
Molecule: unclassified non-coding RNA, 167 nt
Filed under: soil metagenome
Description: partial contains 5.8S ribosomal RNA, internal transcribed spacer 2, and large subunit ribosomal RNA
Source: RNAcentral